GUGUGUGUGUGUGUGUGUGUGUGUGUGUGUGUGUGUGUGUGUGUUUCGUAUUCAAAUCGCUCGGCUGUACUGAGCAUGCGCAAACAAAGGGAACACAUGGCGGGGGGCGUUACCGUGGCGACGUGUUUGGUGACACACACACAAACACACACACACACACACACACACAGUGUCAAUUUCUACAGUGACGGUGAUACGACACACACACAACUUUACUCGAGUGUUUACGUUGAUAACGGAGCGGAGGAAUUCACCUGUAAAAAGGCAAGUGUUUUACUGUUUGUUGAUGUGUGUGUGUAAAGUCUAUUUUACAUUUAAUUCAUUAGAUUAAAUAAGUUGAAUUUUGGAGGAACUACUUCUAUAGUUUACUACAGUAAGAGGUUAUAGCAUUCAUUAUGAACAUUUCAUAAAUCCUUACAUACAUUUCCACUGUGUAAGCCUCGACUAUAUAUUAAAUCAUGUUAGGUUUCCUUCUCAUGCAUUCAUAUAAAGGCAGGGUUUUUACUGUUCAUUUUAUUAUUUUUAUGAGGGCUUUUCUACAUUAAUUCCUUGAAUGCUAGUCAAAGAAAAGCAGCAAAUCUAAAACCAUUGAAUGCUUUUACAUAAAAAACAAACAGUUAUUAAAAAUAGUUUUAAAUCUGUAUUUUUCCACAACGGGGACUUUUCAUUCUUACCAUUACUGUUUAUACAUUGACUUUGUAUUGAUCUGUAAGUGUGUGUGUUGUGUUUCUCUUACUUUUACUUCAAUUUAUUUUAGUUUUAUUACUUAAGUUUUUUUUAAAUGCCGUUUUCUGUUCUUGUACUGUGUUUGCUUGAGUGAGUUAUGUGUACACUUUAUAUUGAAAACCAAAUGUUAGUAAACGUGAAGCUCUAUGUCUCCCUCCUCUCCAGAGUGAAUGGAGCGCUACGAGUCUCUGGGUCUGGUCGGGGAGGGCAGUUACGGCACCGUCCUGAAAUGUCGUCACCGAGAAUCUGGUCGCCUCGUCGCCAUCAAGAAGUUUGUGGACUCGGACGACGACAAGACGGUGAAGAAGAUCGCCCUGAGGGAGAUCAAGCUGCUGAGGCAACUGCGCCACGACAACCUGGUGAACCUCCUGGAGGUGUGGAAGCGUCGCCGUCGCUGGUACCUCGUGUUCGAGUUUGUGGAGCGAACUCUUCUGGAUGAUCUGGAGCAAAACCCAACCGGACUGGACCUGAACACCAGCCGGCAGAUCCUGUACCAGAUCCUGAGGGCUGCCGCCUUCUGCCACCAGCAGAAUAUCAUCCACCGUGACAUCAAACCAGAGAACAUCCUCAUCUCUCAGUGCGGCGUGGUGAAGAUGUGCGACUUUGGUUUUGCCCGGACCAUGACAUCUCCCGCUGAGGGGGGGGUUUAUACCGACUACGUAGCCACUCGCUGGUACAGAGCGCCCGAACUGCUGGUGGGAGACACCAAAUAUGGCAAACCAGUAGACGUUUGGGCUUUCGGUUGUCUGUUGCUGGAGAUGUUGACGGGUCAGCCUCUGUUCCCCGGAGACUCCGACAUGGACCAGAUAUACCACAUCGUCAGGUGCUUCGGUAACCUGACAGCUCAUCACCAGGAGUUGUUCUACAGGAAUCCCGGCUUUUCUGGAGUCAGGCUUCCAGAAUAUUCUGGACGAGUCCCAUUGGAUCAGCGCUUUCCUAUAAUCCCACCCACCGCCCUGGACCUGGCUCAGAGUUGUCUCCAGAUGGAUCCAGAGAGACGCGCCCAGUGUUCAGAACUUUUAGAACAUGCUCUGUUCACUCAAGACUCUUUCCACAUCAGAUUUUUAGACGAGCUGAAUGCAAAGAUCCAGAAAGACCACAGAGAGAACUCUACCCUCCCCAAAAUAACCAAAACUCUAAGACGAGAAGGGGAGGACAAGAACCGGAGAAGCAAAGAGAAGAAACACGCUGAAGAUGAGGAUGAGAGAAGCAACAAGGAAAAGGAGAGGAAGGAAGAAGAGAAAAUUGAGAAAACUAAAGGAAAGCAACCUUCAAAGCUUUCUAAAACUAUUCGAAAUCCCUCAGAACCUCUAAUAUCAACCAAACAAUGCAAAACUUUAGGCGUAAAGAUGGACAAUGCAGCAAAAACGACUGUGCAGAUGAAAAGUAAACCAGGUAAAGUCACUGUUGGGGAUCUGAGAAAGGAACCUGAGACGUCAAAAUCAACUAAAACUUUUACUUUGGAUUCUUUAGACGCUACCAAGACUGCAACAGAUCUAAAGGACAAUAACACCGUGGUAGCUAAACAAGGGAAAGGUGCUUCUCUGGAGACAAGGGAAGACCAUUCGAGAACACAUGGAGGAACCAGUGGCUUGAAUUCUAGUUUCUCAGACAACAUUGUGCCACAUUUUACUGAAAGAAAUGUGACGGAGAUUGGGAGAUCUACUAAAUCGGAGCCAAGUCAAGACUUUGGGAAGAACUGGACCAACACAAAAGUGCCUAAAUUGUCUAAAACCGCAACUGCUGACCAACCAAUUGGGAUGUCAUCUCCAAGAGCAUCUUUGAAACCAACCAUUGAUCGUACGGAUAGCAACUUCACACAGAAAACUGCAAAGACCGCCAUUACAGAUUACCCUGAGGCUACUUCUACUUCUAAAAUAUUAAACAGUGAUCAAGUAGAGACAAGUAAUGACCACAUCGAGGCUGCUUCCACAACUAUCCCUCCUAUCAGCAAGCCAUGCAAGACGACUACGACUUCAGGUGAUCAGAUUGAACCUUCAACAACAAACAAAGAGCUAAGUAAGACCUCCGAAUGCCCCAAAGUCUUGCCUUUAACCACCAAGACAUCUAAGACUACCUCAACCUCAAAAAUGAGCAAAAACCACACAUUUCUGUGCAGUCCUUCAAAGACGCUUCUCUCAGAUCUUUCAAGGGAGUCCUCCACAGUUUUUAGAGAGGCCAGUACUGCCCAAAGCAUAGCAUUAGCUAAAGGAACCUCAAAGUUUCCCAAAACUGGCUCAUAUUCAGAUGCUAAACCAACAAGAGGCCCUCCAACAGACAGGGAACUUUCGGAAGUAUCGAUCCAAACCAAAGCUCAGCAGAGUGUCAGCGAGGCAAACAACGUUGUGAUGUCCAAUGAUUCAAGUGGAGACUACAAAGAGAAUCCUGAAUCUUCUGAGGCCUCCAGUGUCCUUUCAAAGAGCCCUCCCACAUCCAAGAUCACCACAGAAUCCAGAACCACCACGGCGAAUGAAAUCCCUGAAAGCAACGCGCCAUUAGGAACCAUGAUACCAAAGACACUGAGAGUCUCAGAUCAAGAGAACAGAGAGGUUGUGUCACUCUCUGUUUCCAGCAGUUCAACAACCAGGUCUUUAGUAGACCAAAUCUCGAAGGUUGAGCACCCUAACUACAAGUCUCUGACCGGAGAACCUAAAAUGAAGCAUGGGUCCUUUAGCAACCACACUAAGUCGGUCGCAACGAUGACCCUCAAGACUCAGAAAACUACAUUUCCCGCAGAGGCAAGAAAGAAAAGAGACAACCCGGAAACAAAAGAUGGAUCAGCUGGUGCGGAUCAGACUCCGGACCACAAGGCUUUGACAAGAAGCUUCGUCUUCCCCUCCGCAGACGUUGAGGAGUUUAAUAUCAGCAAACCCCAAUCCUCUCCACCUCCACCCCCUCCUCCUCCCUCCCCUUCACCCCUCAUCCCCUAUUCAUCGGUCGUCAACCCAUCCAACAGCGAUCACCUUUCCAUGGGGGCAGGUUUCCAUCCUGGGAACCACAGCCUUAGGUUUGCAGAGAAGUCGAGGCAUCACGGUGGCGUCUAUGGUCGACUGUCUAACCACAUGUCUGGAUCGCUCGCUGCACAGGUGUCGGACAAGAAGCAGACUUGUGAGCGCUCCCUAGUGUCCGAUCGUGGCAUUACAGCGACCAAGAAGAAGUCAGACGUCCAUUUCCCAGAUUUAAGAAGCUCAGGACUGCCAGAAAUCAGAGGAAGAGAAGGCAAACUCCACAAAGGCACUCCCAAGGAUCAGAGGAAAUCAGACGCCCAGCUGCACGGACACAGCGACUCACACACACCUUAACAAACAACACAUGCUGCACAAAAAACCCCUAAAUAUCUUCAUACAAUAUCAUGCCUUUUGUUGAUGACAGUACAUUUCCUCAGAGUCGCUGGAGUCCUCCUCCUCCGAAGAGGAACCCCUUCUCCACCGGUUCCCGUUCGUCCUUCCCGCUCUUUUUAGCGGCGCCUCACUCGACUCGCUGCUGUCUGACGACGCAGCGUAGCCUCUGUGAGGAAGCCUUCCCAUUGGCUGAGGAUGAAAGGAACCCUGCUGUUGGUCAGGAGACGGUGGAGGAGGCUGUGUGCGAGGAGGCCAGGGUUUCUGGUGUCUGGUUUCCUCGGUGGUGAUUUGACGCAUGGCUUUUUGGUGGUGGGAACAACCUGCUGGAGAAUUAUAGAGAAGAGAUUAAAAAAAAAAAUGCUUUGAUAUAAAGAACAAA
Molecule: RNA transcript, 4446 nt
Organism: Eleginops maclovinus (Patagonian blennie)
Lineage: Eukaryota; Metazoa; Chordata; Actinopteri; Perciformes; Eleginopidae
Gene name: serine/threonine-protein kinase dst2-like
Exons: 10
Source: RefSeq, a predicted model, not a curated record